UAAUCCAACUACUUGGGAGGGUGAGGC
RNAcentral lists this non-coding RNA (27 nucleotides) under Homo sapiens (human). The record is from RNAcentral. Lineage: Eukaryota; Metazoa; Chordata; Mammalia; Primates; Hominidae.